AAGAAAGCUUGCUUUCUUUGCUGGCGACCGGCGCACGGGUGAGUAACACGUAUCCAACCUACCCUUUACUCGGGGAUAGCCUUUCGAAAGAAAGAUUAAUACCCGGUAGCAUAAUGAUUCCGCAUGGUUUCAUUAUUAAAGGAUUCCGGUAAAGGAUGGGGAUGCGUUCCAUUAGGUUGUUGGUGGGGUAACGGCCCACCAAGCCUUCGAUGGAUAGGGGUUCUGAGAGGAAGGUCCCCCACAUUGGAACUGAGACACGGUCCAAACUCCUACGGGAGGCAGCAUG
RNAcentral lists this ribosomal RNA (286 nucleotides) under uncultured bacterium. RNAcentral describes it as "partial 16S ribosomal RNA". It matches the Rfam family "Bacterial small subunit ribosomal RNA", at positions 72 to 353 of the family's 1533-position model. The record is from RNAcentral.